This 618-nucleotide ribosomal RNA is filed under the name uncultured bacterium. RNAcentral describes it as "bacterial SSU rRNA". It matches the Rfam family "Bacterial small subunit ribosomal RNA", at positions 54 to 672 of the family's 1533-position model. The record is from RNAcentral.
CAUGCAGUCGCGCGACAAGCCACUUUUAGCUUGCUAUUAGUGGUGGAGGAGCGGCGUAAGGGAGAGUAACGGGUGGAUUAUCUACCCCUAGGCCCGGGAUAGCUGUGGGAAACUGCAAGUAAUACCGGAUAACAUCUGCGGAUCAAAGGUGUGAUUCCGCCUAGGGAUGAGUCCGCCUCCUAUUAGCUUGUUGGUGGGGUAAUGGCCUACCAAGGCUACGAUGGGUACCGGGUGUGAGAGCAUGGCCCGGCUCACUGGGACUGAGACACUGCCCAGACACCUACGGGUGGCUGCAGUCGAGAAUCUUCGGCAAUGGGCGAAAGCCUGACCGAGCGAUGCCGCGUGCGGGAUGAAGGCCUUCGGGUUGUAAACCGCUGUCAGUAGGGAGGAAAUGCAUGGGGGUCAUCCCCCGUGUUUGACCUAUCUUCAGAGGAAGGACGGGCUAAGUUCGUGCCAGCAGCCGCGGUAAGACGAACCGUCCAAACGUUAUUCGGAAUUACUGGGCUUAAAGGGUGCGUAGGCGGCGCGGUCAGUCGGAUGUGAAAUCGUACAGCUCAACUGUACAACUGCGUCCGAAACUGCCGCGCUCGAGGAAGGCAGAGGUGAGCGGAACUCAGG